RNAcentral lists this ribosomal RNA (110 nucleotides) under uncultured bacterium. Its description in RNAcentral is "partial 16S ribosomal RNA". It matches the Rfam family "Bacterial small subunit ribosomal RNA", at positions 1365 to 1482 of the family's 1533-position model. The record is from RNAcentral.
AAUACGUUCCCGGACCUUGUACACACCGCCCGUCAAGCCAUGGAAGCCGGGGGUGCCUGAAGUUGGUGACCGCAAGGAGCUACCUAGGGACAAAACCGGUGACUGGGGCU